AGCUCCAAUAGCGUAUAUUAAUGUUGUUGCAGUUAAAAAGCUCGUAGUUGGAUUCCUGACCUGGGGUAGCCGGUCCACCUUGCAAAAGGUGCGCACUGAGCGGCCUCGGUCAUCCUUGAGAAGAGCGGUCCUGGCAUUCAGUUGUCGGGGUCGGGAUUCUCGACGUUUACUGUGAAAAAAUCAGAGUGUUCAACGCAGGCUUACGCCUUGAAUACAUUAGCAUGGAAUAAUGAGAUAGGACCUUGGCGGUCUAUUUUGUUGGUUUGCACGCCGAGGUAAUGAUUAAAAGGGACGGUUGGGGUUCUUCGUAUUCAAUUGUCAGAGGUGAAAUUCUUGGAUUUAUGGAAGACGAACUGCUGCGAAAGCGUCGAACAAGGACGUUCUCAUUAAUCAAGAACGA
This 400-nucleotide ribosomal RNA is filed under the name phytoplankton environmental sample. RNAcentral's name for it is "partial small subunit ribosomal RNA". It matches the Rfam family "Eukaryotic small subunit ribosomal RNA", at positions 587 to 986 of the family's 1831-position model. The record is from RNAcentral.